Molecule: unclassified non-coding RNA, 200 nt
Filed under: uncultured Entoloma
Lineage: Eukaryota; Fungi; Basidiomycota; Agaricomycetes; Agaricales; Entolomataceae
Description: sequence contains ITS2
Source: RNAcentral
AAUUCUCAAACUUUCUAGCUUUUUCAAAGUUAGCUAGGUUUGGAUUUUGGAGGUUGCUGGAUCUCUGGGAAUCAGCUCCUCUUAAAUAUAUUAGCAGUCCUUACUGGCCGUCAUUAGUAUGAUAAUUAUCUAUACUAUUGAUGAUCAGUUUCCUAAUGGAGAGGUGCUGCUUUCUAAUCGUCUUUGAGACAACAUGAUAA